CCGGGAGGCCAGAAGAGGGCACUGGAACCCCUGGAACUGGAGUUACAGACAAUUCCCUAGAAAACUCAAAUGGCUCCCGAGAUAUGGAUGUCUCCUAGUGAUGCAGAAUCCAGGGCAUCGUGGUUGGAGUAGUGGUAAUAAGCUAAAGAUCUUGGUUCCUGAGAAGGUGGCAGUAGCAGUCUUGGGCAUCAAGGAGAACAUCUACUCUGGAUGGGGCAGGGUGCAUAUGGUUGCAGGAUUCCUGUUGUCCAGGACUCUGAAGGUCUCAUUUGAUGAGGGUUGCUUUGUUUUUGAGUGUCUUCUUGUCUGGGCUUCUGAAACUCAACACAUCUAAGCACUAACUCAUAUUGCAUCACCCUAAUCUGACUCCCCUCUAGGUCCCUCUAUCAGAUAGAACUGCCAUCCUCUGUAGCAUUUCAGAGAGGAAUCUCAGUCUAUCCUUUGGUUCUGCCUUCUGGCCACCCCUGUUUCCUAGCACGAGCAUGGCAGGGCCAGAUAUCUGGCAGUGAUCUUUCAGCUCUUUCCUUAACACAUGUUCAUCCUUGCUGACAUCAGCGCAUGCCAUCCACAGGAACUGGUUUCUCUAGCUGCUCAGUCCUGAUCAUGAUUUCCAAACUCAGGAUAUAGAAGAUAUUUUUUCUUUUUAUGACCAAAUCCCAAACCUGAUGGAAUAGAGAUACAUCAAUAGAAUUAAUCAGUGUACAGACUUUCUUCAUUUGCUUAGCUAAGUAAGUUUCCUAUCAACAGUUAAAUAUUCUCCUACCAACCCUGGAUUCUUAUCAGGGUUUUAUAGUUUUGAGAUUGGGAUCCAUAAUAUCUUUAACUCAGAGAAGCAGUUGAAAUGGUCAAUCCUUCCUUCCUGAUACAGGUUGUUGCAAGAGGCCCCACCAGUACAACCAGUGAUAGAACAAGCCAAACUAGAGCCAGGCACUCUGACAUCACUAAAUUGAUGACACUGUAUAUGUAAGGUAUCACCUGUCUCUGUGGCUUGCCCAAGUGCUCCAUCCUGCUCUUCUUCUGUGGCCAUCAAAUGGAGUGAGCUAUUUCAUAGAGAUGAUUUAAAGCAGAGUCUAAUAGUAUCUAGUUUGUUCCCACCAGAUAAGUAUCCCAAAGCUGUACUGUCAGUCAUCACCCAGAGGUCAAGGUACCACAAUAAUGAAUUGACAUAAUAGCCUGAUACCAGCUGAGCAUGUCAAUGUUGACUUUCCCCUGUGUAUUCAGGGCUCCUUGGUCUCAGCUGAAAGGCUGACAUUCACAGUGAUGAAUAAGACAUUUUUAAUCACUAGUCUAUGUCCCACAGGCAUUCUGUCGGGGCACAAUUGAAGAUGGUGUGAAGGAGGGUAACAAGGGAAGCCAGGCCUACAUUUCUACAAACAAUACCGCUUGCAGGGAAGGAUUUGCUAAUCCUCUGCCCUUGCAUCUGGGACUAGAUAUUGAUGUGUACACUCAAGCCAGAUUUUUUUCUGCCUUCCUUUGGAACCCACUAGAUCCCAUUUUCAGAAAGAACAGAGCACAAGUUUCUCUGUGUAUUUCCAGAGUAAAACAUUAAUUAUGUAAAUGAUUCACUGAAUUGAGCCUGUUAGGCAACUUCACAUUUCAAAAAAUGAUUCCCAUUUCCUGGAAAUCUAUUAGCAUGCUCUGAAGAGGCUAAUCAUGAAAUUCUCCAUGCCGGGGCUCCAGUGUAUACACUGCUCUUCAGGGUUCUAGAACAACCCUCAGAAUGCCUAUCAUGCCUUGCUUCUUUGAGGUCAAGAUCCAACUGUCCUUUUCCCUUGAUCUCACCAAUCAUUGAACAUAUACCACGAGGGCUUUUAUUUUGAACUUCCGAAAUCCAAGAUCAUGUUAGAAAUGUGGGAAUUUAUUUUUCUUGUGAGUUGUCAUUGCUUCCAACCUUGUAAGAAAAACAAAUUUUAAUUUUUGAAUUGGUGCAUAGCAUAGAUACACUAAGUACUUAAAGAUCACUUAUA
This is a long non-coding RNA of Apodemus sylvaticus (European woodmouse), 1967 nucleotides long. RefSeq lists it as uncharacterized. The record is from RefSeq and is a predicted model, not a curated record. The transcript has 4 exons. NCBI's taxonomy places the organism in Eukaryota, Metazoa, Chordata, Mammalia, Rodentia, Muridae.